GGGACAGGGUUGAAAGGGCAAACGUGAGAGGUGGUGCUGCCGCUCUGUUCGCAGGCCGCGGGGAAGUGUGCUGCUAACGCCAUGGAGGAAAUAGAAACGGAGGAAGACAAGCUUUUAAAAAGACACCGCAAAGAAAAGAAGGAAUUGCAGGCUAAAAUACAGGGAAUGAAAAAUGCCGUAGCUAAAAAUGACAAGAGAAGAAGAAAACAGCUUGUAGAAGAAGUAGCAAAAAUUGAGGCCGAGCUGGAACUAAGGCAUGAAGAGGAACUAAAGCAAUUCUCACUUGAUAAGUCUAAUACGGUCGAAUCUGGAAUUGCAAAUUUGGAAUUGGAAAUAAAUAAUGAGAAAGAAGUUAAACAUCUUCGGCUAUCCAAAGCACAGAAGAGAAGGGAGAAAAAAGCUGCUCAGGAGAAAGAAAGAGAAGAGAGGAUAGCUGAAGCUGAAGUUGAGAACUUGAAAGGAGCCCGGUAUCUUGAAAAUCAGAAACUUGCUGAGAUUCUUGCUUCAAGGAAAUUGCAAAUCAAGCAGAUCCCAUCUGAUGGUCACUGCAUGUACAAAGCUAUUGAAGACCAACUCAGAAACCAGAAUAGUCUGUUAACACUUAUGGAGCUAAGGUCACUGGCAGCUGAAUACAUGAGAAGUCAUAUGGAUGACUUCCUACCUUUUCUGACCAACUCUAAUACAGGCGACAUGUAUACACCUGAUGAAUUUGAGAAGUACUGUCAUGAAGUAGCCAGUACAGCAGCAUGGGGUGGACAACUUGAGUUGAGGGCUUUAUCACAUGUUUUGAAAAUGCCCAUGGAGGUUAUACAAGCUGACUCUGCUCCAAUCACAGUAGGUGAAGAGUAUGGAAAGAAACCAAUAAUUCUAGUAGACAGCUUGUAGGAUCAGAUAUUCCCAUUCAAAGAUAUUAUCUUCUGGAUGCACACGAGCUCUGGGGAUGGAAAUGGCCUAUUCUCGGAUUUAUCAUGGAUUGACUGCUAUAUUUAUACAUGAGACACGCAUAUGGUUUAGGAGAACAUUAUAACUCUGUAGAACAAUUAAAAGACCCAGAUACAGAAGAUACAAGCUGAAUGCUACCAGUAUUUACAUUUUCUAUCAGUGUUUCAAUUUCAAAUGUACUUUUCCUGUGGAGCUGAAAAUUGUACUUUUGCACAGUUCAUUUAGAAAAUUUACGAAUAAUGCAUAUCCCACUUGUUUUUCUUGGGUACAUCAUUUAAUUGUGAGAAGACCAAUAAAAGCUAAAUGGAGAUUGCAUGUGGUGAUAAGGAUUAAAUAUUUCAGUGAUCCUGCUAUUCAGUAUGUGCUGUGCAUAAUAAUGUUAAUAAAAUUAGCAGAAAAUAUGUUACACUUCAUGUUUUGUGCCAUUGAAUUUUGAAACUGCUGAAAUUGCUUGUCCUUUUUUCUGAGAAUGGAUAUAAUGUAAUUCAAACUAUGUCCAGUUCUGGUUGCCUCAUUAUAGGGAGCUAGUGGUAUAAUGAGGAGGGGUGACGGGUUGACAUUUAAAGUUAAAUGUGGAAAGAAUAAAACAGCAGCCGGUGUUAAUGAUAUGCACAGAUUUGGUAGACUAAAGGGACUGUUACGUGCUAUAUAAUACUAUAACUUAAAACUGAUUGAAAGCUGUAAUGAAAAGGAAAACCAAUUGGUUUUUAAGCACCACAGAUAGAAAGGAAAUCUUAGAAAAUUUUCUUGAGGGUGACACAGUAGUGUAGCAGUUAGCAUAAUACUACAGCACCAGUGACCUGCAUUCAAUUUUGUUGCUAUCUGUAAGGAGUUUGUAUGCUCUCCCCGUGACCUCAUAGAUUUUUUUUCUGGGUGCUCUGGUUUUGUUCCACGUUCCAAAGACGCAUAUUAAUACACAUGGGUGUAAUUGGGUGACAUGGGUUCAUUGAGAUGUUACUAAGCUGUAUCUCUAACUAAAUUAAAAAAUGGUGAAUAAAAGACUGGAACCCUUUCAUCCUC
This is an RNA transcript of Hypanus sabinus (Atlantic stingray), 1962 nucleotides long. It is a transcript of the gene named OTU deubiquitinase 6B, with no coding region annotated. The record is from RefSeq and is a predicted model, not a curated record. Lineage: Eukaryota; Metazoa; Chordata; Chondrichthyes; Myliobatiformes; Dasyatidae. The transcript has 8 exons.